UCUUGCCACCUCUAAUUUGCUAAUCAGAUAAUUACCAUGCACAGCAGCAUUCAUCUAGUUCGGGCUUACCAUUUUUCUGAUUAAAUUUAGUGUUUGAUUGACAUGCAUGAUUUUACGAUUUAGCACAAAAUAAUCAUCAAACAUGUCAUGAUUAGAAGAAGAUACCUCAUUCAAUUUGUUAUGUUUCUUCAAGUGAAUGACGAUCAAAAUUGUGAAGCCUGUGAUUUCAGCUUCUUCUCAUACCCUGCAACCUAGCUAUCAUGUUGUAGAAGAAUAAAAGAGGUAAAUGGUGGGAUCAUGGAUGAUGCUGGUUCUUGAGAUGAGCAUGUUGAGAAACGAACAAACACGAACUUUGGUUGUAGGCCGAUAAAUGAAUCGAACGUUCAUGAACUAGUUCGGACAAAAGUUCGUUUAUGUUCAUUUAUUUAAUAAACGAACAAACAUGAACACAUUUUGUUAAUUCAUUUAUGUUCGUUUGUUUAUAUUUAUUUAUUUCAUUCGUUUAUGUUAGUGUUUGUGUUUGUGUUCAUGUUCUGUUAAAGUUAAAUGAACAGUUUAUUUAUAGGCCUAUUUGGGUGAUUUCGACUCACUUGACCUGUUAAUAACUCAAUGGAGAUGUAAUAUAAACCCAAACGGGUCCAUUUGUAACUCUGUAAGCAAACAGGCCAAAAUUACCA
This 677-nucleotide long non-coding RNA is filed under the name Helianthus annuus (common sunflower). RNAcentral's name for it is "hypothetical non coding rna". Lineage: Eukaryota; Viridiplantae; Streptophyta; Magnoliopsida; Asterales; Asteraceae. The record is from RNAcentral.